UUAAGCCAUGCAUGUGUAAGCAUGAAUCAUUUAAUGGUGAAGCCGCGAAUGGCUCAUUACAACAGCCAUAGUUUAUUAGAUUUCUUUUUUACUUGGAUAACUGUGGUAAUUCUAGAGCUAAUACACGCAGCAAAGCUCCGACCUUACGGAAGGAGCGCAUUUAUUAGAACAAAACCAAUCGUACUUCGGUACGUCACUUGGUGAAUCUGAAUAACUUUGUCGAUCGCAUGGUCUUUCGUACCGGCGACGCAUCUUUCAAGUGUCUGCUCUAUCAACUUUCGAUGGUAGUUUAUGCGCCUACCAUGGUUGUAACGGGUAACGGAGAAUCAGGGUUUGAUUCCGGAGAGGGAGCCUGAGAAAUGGCUACCACAUCCAAGGAAGGCAGCAGGCACGCAAAUUACCCACUCCCGGCUCGGGGAGGUAGUGACGAAAAAUAACGAGGUAGUCUUCUACGAAGCCUACCAUCGGAAUGGGUACAAUUUAAACCUUUUAACGAGGAUCUAUUGGAGGGCAAGUCUGGUGCCAGCAGCCGCGGUAAUUCCAGCUCCAAUAGCGUAUAUUAAAAUUGUUGCGGUUAAAAAGCUCGUAGUUGGAUCUGCGGUUCAGGAGAGCGGUCCCCCAGUGGGUGUGUACUGCUUUUUCCUGACCUAAUUCUUCUGGUUUGCUCUUGUUGCUCUUGACUGAGUGGCUUGGGUGGCUAGAACUUUUACUUUGAAAAAUUAGAGUGCUCAAAGCAGACGAAUUGUCUGAAUAGUGGUGCAUGGGAUAAUGAAAUAAGACCUCGGUUUUAUUUUGGUGGGUUUAAGAGCUCGAGGUAAUGAUUAGUAGGAACAGAACGGGGGCAUUCGUAUUGCGACCUUAGAGGUGAAAUCUUGGAUCGUCCCACGACGGGACUACUGGCAAAGCAUUUUGCAAGAAAGGUUUCUUUAAUCCAAAAGAAAGUCAAAAGGAACAAAAGGAAUCAAAAACCGGCCCGAUUCUGACCGUAAACGAUGCCAACUAGCGAUCCACAGAAGUUAAACUUUCGACUCUGUGGGCAGCUUCCGGGAAACCAAAGUUUUUGGGUUCCGGGGGAAGUAUGGUUGCAAAGCUGAAACUUAAAGGAAUUGACGGAAGGGCACCACCAGGCGUGGAGCCUGCGGCUUAAUUUGACUCAACGCGGGAAAACUCACCCGGCCCGGACACCGUAAGGAUUGACAGAUUGAUAGCUCUUUCUUGAUUCGGUGGGUGGUGGUGCAUGGCCGUUCUUAGUUGGUGGAGUGAUUUGUCUGGUUAAUUCCGAUAACGAACGAGACUCUAGCCUACUAACUAGACAGUAGAUUUAGUUGUCUACUGCGCUUCUUAAAGGGGCAAGUGGCGUCUAGCCACACGAAAUUGAGCAAUAACAGGUCUGUGAUGCCCUUAGAUGUCCGGGGCUGCACGCGCGCUACAAUGAAGGAAUCAACGUGCUUAUUAUCCUGGUCUGAAAAGAUUGGGUAACCGUUGAAACUCCUUCGUGCUUGGGAUUGGGACUUGUAAUUAUUUCCCAUGAACGAGGAAUGCCUAGUAAAUGUGGGUCAUCAUCUCGCGUUGAUUACGUCCCUGCCCUUUGUACACACCGCCCGUCGCUAUAACGGAGUGAAUGAUUUAGUGAGGCAUUUGGACUGGACCCGCUGAGGCUUAACGGCCUCGACGGGUCUGGAAAGAAUACCGAACUUGAUUAUUUCGACGAUAUAAAAGUCGUAACAAGGUUUCCGUAGGGAACC
Molecule: ribosomal RNA, 1745 nt
Filed under: uncultured eukaryote
Lineage: Eukaryota
Description: SSU rRNA
Rfam family: Eukaryotic small subunit ribosomal RNA
Source: RNAcentral